This 2991-nucleotide unclassified non-coding RNA is filed under the name Aplysia californica (California sea hare). RNAcentral describes it as "uncharacterized LOC101849460, transcript variant X1". The record is from RNAcentral. Lineage: Eukaryota; Metazoa; Mollusca; Gastropoda; Aplysiida; Aplysiidae.
GUGUUUCUAAAAAUAUGAACUUUGUCAAUGCUUUGAAAGUGCUUGUUUUACCAUUUGCUUCGCUGAGCCAGUGUUUAUUGUUUAUGUUGUUCAUGCUGCUAUGUCCAGGUAGUUUGUGCAUACGCGCCUGUGUCUUCGUUGUCUGACACCUCAUUAAUAAGGCACAGUCAUGGAUGAUUUUCUUGAUGUACCUGAUGACUGGUUAAAUCAACGCAGAAAAAGAGAUUCUGGACAUUUACAGGAAUCUUUGUCAGAUCCCACUUUGGCGUCCACACCAAAGAAAAAUAAGAAAGAUGCCAAUUACAAUGAAUCUGAAAAUCAAGGUUUGGAAGGACUCCAUGGUGAUCUGUCUCCUCAAACUAAUGGAAUAGAUGAAAGUCAUCGAACAGUUUCACCUUAUAGAGAAGAUCUUCCCGAUUUGACAAAUGGUUCAAAAAGUGAUGUUGUUGAAAAUGGAAGUGACGCUUAUGAUUUUGAAUGCUCUGCCUGUGGUGAUCACGUGAACGUGAAGAAAAAUACUGAUAAUUCAGUAAUUGAAAUUUCUUCAACUUCAGAGACUUCUCUGAGGACGCAAGAGGAUAGUUCCAUUAAUGAACCAGAUUUUCUGGGUAACACUCUACCUGCACAUAUUCCCCAUUCUCCUAAUAUUGCUGAUGUUGAAUAUGUUGAUAACAAAGAAGAAAAGAGUGAGGGGUCAGCAUCUGAACAGGCACACAGUGUUGUUGGUCUUUCACGAGUGGAUGCGUUGCCGCCAAACAAUGUUGCAGAUGUUGCAAAACAAGAUGUUCCAGAUAUGAAGAAAGUAGCAUCUGUUUUGAGAGAUGCUAAAAUUAUCUCAGGGAUUGUGUCAUAUAAAAAUCUUAAUAAUGUUUAUGAUUUGUUGUUAGACAACAGAGAGAGACCAGAUAGACUAGACUUUGUGACUUCAGUUCUUCUUGAUGGAAGUGGGAAAGGUGGUCUUGAUGAUAUUCAGAAGACUCCAGGAGUACAGUUGUUAGACAUCUUUGAAGAAGUUGAAUUGGUUAUUAAAAGUGUCUCAAACGCAGAUGCUAAUGAAGUGUAUGCACUUUUAGAGUCAGUGCCACCUUCGUCUACUCGAGUGAAAUGUGUUAUUGAGAUACUGAAGCAAAAACCGAUUCUAAUUAAAGAGAGUGAAACAAAGACUGUUCCAGUUCUACUGAAAAAAGAUUCAUCUAUUAUAGAUGAUCCUCUUCUAGCAAAUGAUCCUUUGUUCUGUGACAUGCGAACUGUUGCCAAAAUAUUUCCAGAUAAAGACAGGAAUGAGAUUUAUGCUCUGCUGGAGGCUCAUUUUGAAAAGAAAGACAGGCUGCAGACUGUGAUAGAUGAACUCAUGAUGACUUACAGAGGUGAGGACCAAAGCCAAAACUCACAAGCACAUGUGGCCCAGGCUGAAGAACCCAAUCCACCAUCAGAAGAAAGUUCGGUGGAAAGGGAUGUGGAGAAAAUGCAAACAUUGUUUCCUGACUGUGAUCCAAACUACCUGUUUGAAAGACUAGAACAGAUGGGCUCUGUGAAAAAUCGCACAGAUGUACUGGCUGCAGAACUCUUUGACCGUAAGAACUAUCCAACAUUGAAAGACCUGGAGGAAAAAGAGGAAGAAAAGACAAGGUUGGAUAAGCUGCGCAAUCUGAAAAUCACUGUUGAGGAAUUUCAACAGAAGUUUCCGGAACCAGAAAAGACUUUCGGGGAUAUUACCAAAGACCUUUCACCAUCAUACAAACAGCAUGCCGAUUUGUUCUUGAAGAAUGAGUUCCGUAUUCUUCAGGCUGGUUAUUUGAAAUCAGUUCUGGAAAGACACCAAGGACACGUGUUGCCUGCUUAUAGAGAAAUUUCCUCUGCUUUAUUAAGUAUUCCAAUAGCUGAACGUAAGCAACAUAAAAGGUUUCUCAAGAACAGACGGGGCAUUUUGUCUAUGCCCACGAUACCUGAUGAGUAUUUCUACCAUGAGAUGUGGUUUAUUCACAAUGAACAGAACAUUGCAGAUCAUGAAAACAAGAAAGUGCAGCAGAGACAAAUGAAACUGGAGGAAGCCAAAGCAAAGGGAGAGCUGUAUGAAUGCUGCUGUUGCUUUGAGGAUGAAUGUCUAUUUGAAGAUCUUGCCAGCUGUGCAGACGGCCAUUUGUUCUGUAAGACAUGUGUGUUAAGGUCCACAGAGGCUGCAUUUGGAGAAAUGAAGACAAAGUUUCCAUGUCUGACUGGAGCAUGUGACCAGCACAUAACCUUAAACACAAUCCAGUCUAUAGUGCCGAGCAACCUGUUCUCCAAAAUUAUCCGGCGCAUGCAGGAGGAGGAGGUUCAACAGGCAAACAUCCCUGAUUUAGUCAUCUGUCCAUUUUGUCCUUUUGCUACCAUCAUGUCAGAUAAGGACGACAAAGUGUUGAAGUGUCUGAAUCCUGAGUGUCUUAAAGAAUCCUGCAGACUAUGCCAAGAACCGAAUCACAUUCCUCUGAGAUGCAAUGAAGUGGAGAAGAAAGCAGAGACUAACAUGCGCACGUUUAUUGAAAAUUACAUAUCUGAGGCUGUGAUGAGGAAAUGUCACCGCUGUGGGAAACGCUUUGUUAAAGAAAAUGGUUGCAAUAAAAUGACAUGUCAUUGUGGUGCCACCAGCUGCUAUGCUUGCAAGGAGCCUGACAUAAAUUAUGACCACUUCAAUGCCAACAAAAAAUGUGCCCAGACAGAUCCCAACUGGAUACAUCAGCAGGACAUGGAAAGGGCAGCUCUGGAGGCAAAGAACAAGUAUCUGGAGGAUCACCCAGAAGCAACAGAAGUAGAAUUGAAAAAUGAUGUGGUGGACAUGAUCAAAGACUUAUACGAACCUGGUGGCAGUAGAGGCAGAAGGCAGAAAAGAGGCCGGAGAAGGAGAUGAUGGCCUAGUAUUGCGGUUAGGGUGAGCAGACAAAGACCAGACAGGAGGACCCUUUAACCCUAACAUGCGUGUUUAUGAGGAUUCUGAUGAAGAACGUGACUCCG